Molecule: long non-coding RNA, 4805 nt
Filed under: Homo sapiens (human)
Lineage: Eukaryota; Metazoa; Chordata; Mammalia; Primates; Hominidae
Description: HSALNT0221079
Source: RNAcentral
GUGAGGGAUUCACCGGGAAAGAUGGCCGCCCGGGCUGGAGGCACAGGGCGGCAGCUGUGACUGUGCUUACUAAAGAAAGCUGGUCUUCACCCCUGGGAGGUGGCGCAUAUGUGCUUCCAAAUGGGAGGCCGGAUGUGGCUGGGCCAGCUGAUAUUUUGGAGCCCAAGGACCGAUCGCCAAGGCCACGUCCUCAGGGUGGCCUUCAGAGGGAUCUAUUUCAGGAGGGACCCAGAAAGUCGGGACUACUGUGACCCUUGCGUUUUUUCCCCACCAGUGUUGGCUGGCUUGACUGGAGGAGAUGCUUUUGAAGGGCUCUGAGGUGCCUGGGAGGGGCCCUGGAAGCCAAGCCAGGAGGGGAGUUUUGGGGAGGCGGGAGUGGGGGAGGGUGCAAGAACAAGGCACAGGAGAGACCAGGGAAAGAUAAUUGGAGCCCUUGGAACUGAGCUCCCAGCGACAGCCUCUGCCCAUAGCGUGGAGAACGUUAAGUCCAGCUCCCUGGAGGCAGAAUUCAUCUCUGCGGUUUCCCUUCCAGAGCAUGUGGCCGGCAUCUCCACUAAGACGAAUCACAGCAGGGCAGGCCUGAAAAGACAUAUUUUGGAGAACAUGUAUUGACUGUUCCAGCUGUGAGCAUGCUUCCUGCCCUCCCUCCAGGCUGCCCAGCAGUGCCGCUGCUGCAAAUCCAGGGGUUGCUGAGAGGACGGACUGCUCACAGGGCAGCUGCUGAGGUACAGAACCCACAGGUCGGGGACACGGUCACUGCCAGCUGCCACUCAAGAAAGAAGACGUGGCAGGAAGUUGCUGUGAAAGGAGGUGGACUUGUCUGCCGGGCCAUUUCCUUCCCACCUAAGCUCCUGCCAGAUGGCUCCCAGUUGCUGUGUUUGAGCCCAGGCUGACCACUUCCUAGGCAGUGGCGUUGGAGAUGGGUGUGGCCUUGCCUCCAGGAUCUCCUCACAGCUUGUGCUUCCUGACAGCUGUGGACACUUGGGCUGACUGCAGACCUCCCGCUACCCUGAUUUCCAGCAAGAAAGAACUAUUCCUUCCAGCCCAGAACACUGUCUCUGAACAGCAAGAUGGCUUUGAAACGCUUUCACAACGAAGGUGUGCUCCACUGGGCACCACAACAUACGGUUCAGACGUUUAAAGCCUGUCUCAGCCCAAUUUCCUCUCCAUUUGCUCCCUGGGUAAGGUAUCCCCCCUUCAGUGCAGGCAGAACUGGCGACUUGCUUCUAAUCAACAAAAUAUGGCAAAGUGGUGGAGUCUAGAAGUCUGAGAUCAGGGCACCAGCCUGGCCGAGUUCUGAUGGCGUCUCGCUUUGUCACCCAGGCUGGAGUGCAGUGGCGCGAUCUCGGUUCACUGCAACAUCUACCUCCCAGGUUCAAGUGAUUCUCCUGCCUUAGCCUCCCGAGUAGCUGGGAUUACAGGCACCCACCACCACAUCCGGCGAAUUUUUUGUAUUUUUAGUAGAGACAGGGUUUCACCAUGUUGGCCAGGAUGGUCUUGAUUUCCUGACCUGGUGAUCUGCCCACCUUGGCCUCCCAAACUGCUGGGAUUGCAGGCGUGAGCCACCGUGCCUGGCCGACCACUGAUCUUUUCACUGUAUCCACAGUGUUGCCUUUUCCAGAAUGUCAUAGAAUUUGAAUCAUACUAUAUGUUGCCCUUUCAGAUGAGUUUCUUUCACUUACUAAUAUUCAUUUGUUUCCUCCAUGUCUUUUGGCUUGAUAAUUCAUUUCUUUUUAUCACUGAAUAAUAUUCCAUUGUCUGAUGUACCACAGUUUAUUUACGCAUUUACCUACUGAAGGAUAUCAGGACAUCUUAGUUGCCUCUGAGUUUUUGGCAAUUAUGAAUAAAACUGCUAUAGAAAGAUGUGUGCAGGUUUUUCUGUGGAUAUAGUUUUCAACUCCUUUGGGUAACUCCAAGGAGUGUGGUCGCUGGAUCAUAUAGUAAGAGUAUGUGUAGUUUUGUAACAAAUAGCCAAAUGUUCUCCAAAGUGGCAUUAGCAUUUUGCUUUCCCACCAGCAAGGAAUAAGAGUUCCUGUUGCUCUGUAUCCUCACCAGCAUUUGGUGGUGUCAGUGUUCUGGAUUUUGGCCAUUGUAAUAAAUGUGUGGUGUUAUCUCAUUGUUGUUUUAAUUUGCAUUUGCCUGAUGACAUACAAUGUGGAACAUCUUUUUAUUGAAGCUAAUGUUUUAAGCCUGGCAAUUUAGUCUCUUCUCUUCCUGUAACCCUGAGCCACUGAGCACAGCUUUCUCCAGAAGCACCUGUGAGUCACUAUACACCACUGCUAUCUCCUGAAUGCUGGAGGCACUGGAGUGGGCCCUUUCAACUUUCAUUUUCUUAUUACCUAGAGAACUUGGCAUUGGUAGAUGCCCAAAAAAUGUAUGUGAGAUGCCUGCACAUUAAAAGACUGGCUGAAAACUUAAGCAGUAUACUGGUUUAGAUCAUUCAUCGCUGUCGGCAAGAGUAAAAAGCUAUGUAGCAGCAUUCUGAAGUAAUAAGCAACAGGCAUGUUAUUUCAGUUUCCAGAUCAAGUGCUGCUCUCAAAAUUGCAAAUUGACUUCUGGCCAGAGCCCUCUUGGAAGUUUCCUCAUUUUGCAAGUGCAGCUCUUUCCCCUGCUUGACAGGGGAAUGUACUGAGCACUCCCAGAUGGGCCUUUCCCAAGCAGGAACCAAUGGGCCCAAAUGAAUCAAGUUGAAGGAGAGUGAGCAGAGUCAGCAGUGAGAGAAAGACUUAGCUGCAAGGUCAAAAUCCGUCUGAAAACAGACACGAUGGAAGACAGACAGUUCCUCCUGGAUCAUCGUAUAAAGAAAAGGGAUGGAUCAAGACAGGGAUUGCUGAUGCAUAUCUGCUCGCUGUUUGACUACAAAAUACUCUCAUGAUUGAUUCUGUGUCUGCCACCCAAGAUCAGUCUCAAGGAAAUGCUGACAAAACCCUGGCACCCAGAGUCACAGAGCUCAGUUUCCAGCCCUAGCACCACCCUUGAUAACUUGAGUGACCUUGGACUCCUGGUCUCUGCCUCAGUUUCCAAAUUAAAUGAGUGUGGUGAAAACUUCUUCCUGGUCUGCUAUGGUGAAGAAGCAUGGCAGCUAAUAUGAAAUGCCUUGAAAAGCUGACACACUCUAUGAGAGCAAAGUAUUAAUAUUUUCCUCUUAGAAGCAAGUUCUUUUUUUGAAAUGGAGUCCAUUCUCUCUCCAAGUUGGAGUGUGCAGUGCUGUGAUCUCUGCUCACUGCAAUCUCCACCUCCCGAGUUCAAGCAAUUCUCCUACCUAAUCCUACCAAGUAGCUGGUAUUACAGGCACGCACCACCAUGCCCAGCUAAUUUUUGUAUUUUUAGUAGAGAUGGGGUUUCGCCAUGUUGGCCAGGCUAGUCUCGAACUCCUUACCUCAGGUGAUCUGCCCGCCUUGGCCUUCCAAAUUGCUGGGAUUACAGGUGUGAGCCACCGCACCUGGCCAGUAGCAAGUUCUUAAAGUGACCCCUUGCCCAAUCAACAUCUUUUCCUUUUGUCUGUCUCUACUGCAGCACCUAAAACACAUGGGUAAAAAUGUAGAGAAUGCAGAAUUGAGGGGACCAACAGCCUUCAGGAAAAUAAAGAAGCAGAGAAAGAAUAUGAAGGAAGCAUGAGUACAAAGCAAAGGCUCCAAGCCGCAGAUAAUCUAUCCUGGAAAAUGUUCCAUGUGGUGAUGAGAAGAAUGUAUAUUCUGUAGCUGUUGGAUGAAAUGUUCUGGAAGUGUCUAUUAAAUCCUUUUGGACUAAAGUGCUGUUUAAAUCCAAUGUUCACUGUAAAUUUUCUGUCUAGAUGAUCUGUCUAAUGCUAAGAGUAGAGUGUUGAAGUCCCCAUUCACUAUUGUAUUGGAGUCUGUCUCUCCCCUGCGAUAUAAUAAUAUUUGCUUUAUAUAUAUGGGUGCUCAAGUGUUGGAUGCAUACACAUGUUCAGAAUUGUUAUACCCUCUUGGUGAAUUGAUCCCCUUAUCAUUACAUAAUGACCUUCUUUGUCUCUUUUUACUGUUUUUGACUGAGCUGCUUCUGCUUACUUUGGAGUCCAUUGCAUGGAAUGUCUGUUUCCAUCCCUAUAUUUUCUGUCUACAGGUGAGGAGUUCAUAGUGGAAAUGUGGACCACUGGGGGUCUCUCACUUAUCCUUUCCCCAUGCUGGGAAGCCUCUCCAGGCUUCCAGCUGAUCCUAGCUGAGCAGGCAGCCUUGCUUUCUUUCCUUCCUUGAUUUAGGUGUUUCUUGUCACUUCUCUGUUUAAUUCCAAUAUUCUUUUUUAAAUAAUCUAAUCAAAGUGUGAUUAUCUACUCACUAUUUUGGUUCUUCCUUAUAGAGAAGGCAAGUACCAGAUGCCUCUAGUAAGCCAUCUUGAACCCCUCCUCACCUUAUUCUUCUUUAAUUUAAAAGUCCUGUUAUUGAAAUUUAAUGCUUACACCUACCUGGAAUUUAUUUUGUGUAUGGUAUGAGAUGGGGCUUCAAUUUUAUUUUUAUUUUGCAUAUAAAUAAUUAAUCAUACCAAUAACAUUAAAUUUUUUUUCUAACUGCUCUACAGUUCCACCUCUUUCAUAUAUCAAGUUUGCAUUCAUGUAUAGGCCUGCUCCUUCCUUUUAUUCUGUUACAUUGGUUUAUCUGUCUUUUCUGUACCAAUUCCACACAAUUUUAUUUACUCUAGCUUUAUGAAUAGAUUUAUUAUUUGAUUAAAAAUAAACUCCAUUAAAUGUCUGCUUCAAAAUUGCCUUGGCUAUUUGUGACACUUUACCAUAUAAAUUUUAUUUUAUUAUUAUUUACUUUUAUUUAUUAUUUGGUUUUUUUGGGAGACAG